This 1082-nucleotide long non-coding RNA is filed under the name Marmota monax (woodchuck). The record is from RNAcentral. Lineage: Eukaryota; Metazoa; Chordata; Mammalia; Rodentia; Sciuridae.
GGGGAUGUGAGCGCAGGAGAAUAAAGAGGAAGAGGGAAAAAAAAUUUUUUUGAAGGAAGAAACAGGUAUUGUUUUGGUUGGAGAUCAGUAUCUUUCCUGCUUCCCUUCUCAUCCAAUAGGUGGGGUUGUCUGUUGUUAGCUGGUAACUCUGCCCUCAGGAUGGUGAAAGUAACCAGGGUGUCACUGUGCUGGGGUAGAGGCUGCUGGAGAGAUGGGGGAGUUAGAAACUGGGUACCUGGCCAGCCUGAGUUCCAAACUGGGACUUGCCCUCACUGAAGAUGGUGAUGAAGGUGACCCAAGAUGGAGACACCUGCUUUCAGCAGUGGGGUGUCUGGUCGGGUGUUGGGGAGCCAGGCAAUGGUGUUAGAUGAUGAUCAGAGUCUGUGUGAAGUUCUCGGGUGCAGGCAAGCUACUGCAGAGUCCCAAGGUGGGACUUGGGAGAGCCCCAUGUUGGUAGCUGGGGGUCUAUACAGGAGUGGUGGCCGGAGUUCCUGGGAAGCUGCUGGGUGUCCUGCGUGGGAGCAACAUCAAUGAUUUCUACUUGGUUGGGUGGCUGAAAGUUCUGCACAGGUGCUGAUGCCGAUGGUCCUGCUCAGGUACCCAGUAGUCCUGAGUGGGCAGGUAGUUGGAAGACCCACUCUGACGCUGAGGCCUAGAUUCCUGGGCAGGCAGGUGACUGUGACCUGCGCGGGAGCAAGAAUAACGCUCGCAGAGAAGCAGUGAUUCUCACUACUUGAGUCCUAGGUCACGGAGCGACACAGAAUGCUGCCUCCCUCUGGCCUGCCAUGUUGGAUCUCCUGUGCUUUGAGGUUUUCAUGUUUUGGUAUUUCCUUGUUUUCAACUGUUCCACUUCAAGCUUUUGAACAUCUGAUUCUCUGGUUUUAGUACUUGGACUUUUAACUAAUUUGUAAUUGACAUUGCUCCUAAAAAUGCAAAAAUAUGCUAGUGCUGUAUUUUGUUACUGAAUUCUCAGAUUCAUUCACUCCCAUAUACUGAGAAAGUAUAUGAAUUUCUGAAAAUUAUUUUUGCUUUUUAACCUUAAUUAAAUACUUUAUUAAUACUUAAACAAAUUUUAUCAAUAA